This 408-nucleotide ribosomal RNA is filed under the name uncultured bacterium. Its description in RNAcentral is "partial 16S ribosomal RNA". It matches the Rfam family "Bacterial small subunit ribosomal RNA", at positions 28 to 526 of the family's 1533-position model. The record is from RNAcentral.
GACGAACGCUGGCGGCGUGCUUAACACAUGCAAGUCGAACGGAGUGGCGAACGGGUGAGUAACGCGUGGGUGAUCUGCCUUGCACUUCGGGAUAAGCUUGGGAAACUGGGUCUAAUACCGGAUAGUGCAAGAUGAGCUAGCGGCCUAUCGGCUUGUUGGUGGGGUAAUGGCCUAACAAGGCGUCGACGGGUAGCCGGCCUGGGAGGUUGUACGGCCCCAUUGGGACUGAGAGACGGCCCAGACUGCUACGGGAGGCAGCGGUGGAGAAUAUUGCACAAUGGGCGGAAGCCAGAUGCAGCGACGCCGCGUGGGGGAUGAAGGCCUUCGGGUUGUAAACUACUUUCGACAGGGACGCGGUACCUGGAUAAGAAGCACCGGCUAACUACGUGCCAGCAGCCGCGGUAAUUC